UGGCGACCGGCGCACGGGUGAGUAACACGUAUCCAACCUGCCGAUAACUCGGGGAUAGCCUUUCGAAAGAAAGAUUAAUAUCCGAUAGGAUAUCAAGAUCGCAUGAUCUUGAUAUUAAAGAAUUUCGGUUAUCGAUGGGGAUGCGUUCCAUUAGUUAGUUGGCGGGGUAACGGCCCACCAAGACGACGAUGGAUAGGGGUUCUGAGAGGAAGGUCCCCCACAUUGGAACUGAGAUACGGCCCAGACUCCUACGGAAGGCAGCAG
Molecule: ribosomal RNA, 264 nt
Filed under: uncultured bacterium
Lineage: Bacteria
Description: partial 16S ribosomal RNA
Rfam family: Bacterial small subunit ribosomal RNA
Source: RNAcentral